UGGGGAAUAUUGGACAAUGGGCGGAAGCCUGAUCCAGCCAUGCCGCGUGUGUGAAGAAGGCCUUUUGGUUGUAAAGCACUUUAAGCGAGGAGGAGGCUACUUGGAUUAAUACUCUAGGAUAGUGGACGUUACUCGCAGAAUAAGCACCGGCUAACUCUGUGCCAGCAGCCGCGGUAAUACAGAGGGUGCGAGCGUUAAUCGGAUUUACUGGGCGUAAAGCGUGCGUAGGCGGCUUCUUAAGUCGGAUGUGAAAUCCCUGAGCUUAACUUAGGAAUUGCAUUCGAUACUGUGAAGCUAGAGUAUGGGAGAGGAUGGUAGAAUUCCAGGUGUAGCGGUGAAAUGCGUAGAGAUCUGGAGGAAUACCGAUGGCGAAGGCAGCCAUCUGGCCUAAUACUGACGCUGAGGUACGAAAGCAUGGUGAGCAAACAGG
RNAcentral lists this ribosomal RNA (430 nucleotides) under bacterium. Its description in RNAcentral is "partial 16S ribosomal RNA". It matches the Rfam family "Bacterial small subunit ribosomal RNA", at positions 355 to 776 of the family's 1533-position model. The record is from RNAcentral.